CAAGUCGAACGAUUAAAGCUCUCUUCGGAGAGUGCAUAGAGUGGCGCACGGGUGAGUAACACGUAAGUAAUCUACCUUCGAGUGGGGAAUAACGUCCGGAAACGGACGCUAAUACCGCAUAAUGCAGCGGCAUCGAAAGAUGACAGUUGUUAAAGGAGCAAUUCGCUUGAAGAGGAGCUUGCGGCAGAUUAGCUAGUUGGUAAGGUAAUGGCUUACCAAGGCUACGAUCUGUAACCGGUCUAAGAGGACGGUCGGUCACACUGACACUGAAUAACGGGUCAGACUCCUACGGGAGGCAGCAGUCGGGAAUUUUGGGCAAUGGGCGAAAGCCUGACCCAGCAACGCCGCGUGAAGGAUGAAGUAUUUCGGUAUGUAAACUUCGAAAGAAUGGGAAGAAUCAAUGACGGUACCAUUUAUAAGGUCCGGCUAACUACGUGCCAGCAGCCGCGGUAAUACGUAGGGACCAAGCGUUGUUCGGAUUUACUGGGCGUAAAGGGCGCGUAGGCGGCUUGACAAGUCACUUGUGAAAUCUCCGGGCUUAACUCGGAACGGCCAAGUGAAACUGUCAUGCUAGAGUGCAGAAGGGGCAAUCGGAAUUCUUGGUGUAGCGGUGAAAUGCGUAGAUAUCAAGAGGAACACCUGAGGUGAAGACGGGUUGCUGGGCUGACACUGACGCUGAUGCGCGAAAGCCAGGGGAGCAAACGGGAUUAGAUACCCCGGUAGUCCUGGCCCUAAACGAUGAAUACUUGGUGUCUGGAGUCAUUAAUGCUCCGGGUGCCGUCGCUAACGUUUUUAGUAUUCCGCCUGGGGAGUACGCUCGCAAGAGUGAAACUCAAAGGAAUUGACGGGGACCCGCACAAGCGGUGGAGCAUGUGGUUUAAUUCGACGCAACGCGAA
This 897-nucleotide ribosomal RNA is filed under the name uncultured Bacillota bacterium. Its description in RNAcentral is "bacterial SSU rRNA". It matches the Rfam family "Bacterial small subunit ribosomal RNA", at positions 58 to 965 of the family's 1533-position model. The record is from RNAcentral. Lineage: Bacteria; Bacillati; Bacillota.